This 498-nucleotide ribosomal RNA is filed under the name uncultured bacterium. Its description in RNAcentral is "partial 16S ribosomal RNA". It matches the Rfam family "Bacterial small subunit ribosomal RNA", at positions 28 to 507 of the family's 1533-position model. The record is from RNAcentral.
GACGAACGCUGGCGGCGUGCCUAAUACAUGCAAGUCGAGCGGACGGAUGGGAGCUUGCUCCCAGACCGUCAGCGGCGGACGGGUGAGUAACACGUGGGCAACCUGCCUGUAAGACUGGGAUAACUCCGGGAAACCGGGGCUAAUACCGGAUAACUCUUUCCCUCACAUGAGGGAAAGCUGAAAUAUGGCAUCUCGCUAUCACUCACAGAUGUGCCCGCUGGACAUUAGCUAGUUGGUGGGGUAACGGCUCACCAAGGCGACGAUGCGUAGCCGACCUGAGAGGCUUAUCGGCCACGCGGGGACUGAGACACGGCCCAGACGCCUACGGGAGGGAUCAGUAGAGAAUCUUCGACAAUGGACGGAAGUCUGACGGAGCAACAGCGGGUGAGUGAUGUAGGUUUUCGGAUCGUAAAACUCUGUUGUCAGGGAAGAACAAGUACCUGAGUGACGGCCGGUACCGUGACGGUACCUGAUCAGAAGGCCACGGCUAACUGCGUG